CCGCUGGGCGAACCCUGCUCCGCGCGAGAAUUUUUUUGAUGCCUUCUUAUUUGGAGAAAUCUCCAGCUGCUCUGAUGAUAGCCUAAGAAGACUGCAUGCUGCUUCCUCUCGAUGCCAAGCCAGGCCCUCUCACAACUUCGGAUCUCAGUCCUUCAUGGAGACCUGGUCCCAGCAGGAAUGGCAGUGCAGGAAAUUGGCGCCCAGAUGGUUCUUCCAUGUGAAGUUGUCUCGGGCUCUGGGCUGACAAGAGAACACCUGGUAACCAGGUUAGCCCUCUGUCAGCCACCCAGGGCAGGGCAGCAUGGUACGGAUUCAGAGGAGGAAGCUUUUGGCAUCUUGCCUGUGCGUCACAGCUACCGUCUUUCUGCUUGUCACACUCCAGGUGAAACUGAGGUUUAGUGAAUGGACGUGUCAGGCAGAAACAAAGUCAUUGAGAUACAAGGUCAUGGUUGAGCUGGGGAAGUUUGAAAGGAAGGAGUUGAAAAGUUCCAGUUUGCAAGAUAGACAUACAAAAAUGGAGGAAGCACCUACACAUCUUAAUUCAUUUCUUAAGAAAGAAGGAUUGACCUUC
RNAcentral lists this small RNA (571 nucleotides) under Pongo abelii (Sumatran orangutan). RNAcentral describes it as "processed transcript". The record is from RNAcentral. Lineage: Eukaryota; Metazoa; Chordata; Mammalia; Primates; Hominidae.